UACGUAGGGAGCAAGCGUUGUUCGGAUUUACUGAGCGUAAAGGGCGCGUAGGCGGCGCGGUAAGUCACUUGUGAAAUCUCUGAGCUUAACUCAGAACGGCCAAGUGAUACUGCAGUGCUAGAGUGCAGAAAGGGCAAUCGGAAUUCUUGGUGUAGCGGUGAAAUGCGUAGAUAUCAAGAGGAACACCUGAGGCGAAGGCGGGUUGCUAGGCUGACACUGACGCUGAGUGCGCGAAAGCCAGGGGAGCAAACGGG
Molecule: ribosomal RNA, 254 nt
Filed under: uncultured bacterium
Lineage: Bacteria
Description: partial 16S ribosomal RNA
Rfam family: Bacterial small subunit ribosomal RNA
Source: RNAcentral